Long non-coding RNA from Physeter macrocephalus (sperm whale), 3154 nucleotides. RefSeq lists it as uncharacterized. The record is from RefSeq and is a predicted model, not a curated record. NCBI's taxonomy places the organism in Eukaryota, Metazoa, Chordata, Mammalia, Artiodactyla, Physeteridae. The transcript has 3 exons.
CCGGAGCCUGUGCUCCGCAACGGGAGGGGCCACAACAGUGAGAGGCCCGCGUACCGCAAAAAAAAAAAAAAAAAAAAAAAAAAAUCAAUUCUCAAGAAUUAACAAUAGCCUGACCAUCACCACAGUGGAUGGUGAACAAACCAGUAAAAAACAGCUCCAGCAAAGAUGAGCCACAAAGAAGGAGCGUGCGGACAGCCCUGGGUUAGAGAUGGCAAAAACAAAGCAAGAAAAGUGCCACAAAAUGAAUGAAAAACAUUAACUGAGGCAGGAAGAUAAAGCAGCACAAGAAUGACAAAUGGAAAGAAGAAGAUCACUAGAGAAGCAGAGGAGUGGAGGGCGAGCUUGUUGCACGUGUCCAGAUGUUAUUUCCACCUUCCUUUUCCUUCUUCUCCUUAGCCUGCCUGCAGCAGCCUGGCAGCCAGCGUUUCUAUGCUGCCCACCCCCGUCCCCCAUUGUCCAUAAUCUGCCACUCGGAAUAACCUAAAUGCUCCAGAGGUUUUGUGAUCACCUUUGCUUACUGAAAUUUUGCUGUCUCGUUCUUCAAAGUGCUUGGUGCGCGUAACGAAACUGAGAAGUGCAUUGUGUUCAUCUAAUUAUUCAUUCAUUCAACACAUACUCAUUAGACUAUUCCACAAUGAAUAAUACAAGCAGAUCUCUGCUGUCAUCAAGCAAAUAAUAAAAAAGAAACACAAAUACCUUAAAGCUACUUACAGGUUGUAAUAAGUGCCACGGAGCAUAUAAACAGGGCGCUGAGAUAGGAGGACCUGAAGUACGAAGCUCAGGAAAAGCCUCUUUGAAGAAAGGAGAUUUCACCCGAGAUUGGAUGAAGCCAGAAGAAACCAGCCAUUCACAGUGUGGGCAGACACUCCCGGAGAAGGAGAAGGAAGGUAGCAUUUACUUGGUCCACGCUGCUCAUCUUGCAAUGUGGGGCCCUGUGCCUGCCCUCAAGAGGCUAAGACACGAGACUGGGGAGAGACAGGAAUCCCUAGAACUGUGACAGUGCAUCAUUAAUCAUAUUGAAGUCCUAAAACAAAUGUGGACCACAGCGGUUUUUUUUUUUUGCCCAAGCCAACAUGGACUUUCAAAGUUACAAAUACUAAGGGAAAAUUUAUCAAGCUGAAAGAAAGGUUCCUACAAUUUUAGCCAUCACGUUCUAUACGAAUUUGCAGAGCCCUUCCCUUUCUUGUCCCUCAAAAUCUAACCUUAUAUGACUAGUGAUUUAACCCAGAAAAUCUGUCCAGAAAUUAAUAUGUUUAAGAAUAAAGGUCUCUGGACAAACGGUCCAGGUCCAGGCUGGAGACAGUUACGCGGCCACCGAGCUAGCAGCAGCAAGAAAGUGCCACGUCAUCACCAGUCGUGCAACCCGGAGGCCACAGAAAAGACAAACUCUGGACAACAAGGCCCGUGACCUGGGAAGAGACCCUAAGAAUUGCCCUCGGGGCUCCCUUUCUGGAGGCGACAUGCCGAGCUUAGGUGGGCGAAGCACACCUCUCUGAGUCAGGCCUCUCAUCUGUAUGUGUGUUUUUAAAACCCCCAAAUCCACUUUUCAAAGGAUUUCAGCUGGCUCUUUGUCCAGUAUCAGAAUUCUUAUCAGUGGAAACGUAACUAUUCACAACACAAUACACAGAAGGGGUCAUCUUUAUCAAACUAUGGUCUUAGGUGUAAAUCCUUCUAGGUAAAAAGACAAAUUGUUCAACUUCACAUACGAAAAUGUUUUUAAAAGUGAGCCCAUGUACGUAAGGAAAUGCCCUUGAUGACUUUAGAACAAUAAGUUGAUUUGAAAAAAAUAAAACACAUCAAUUACUAUUAUUGGAUAUUACAUUUUCAACUGAACUCUUGCCUAUUAUCAUCUGAACAAUACAAACAUUUCUGGAUUAGCAUUUUAUUCAUUAAAGGGUUUACUGGGUAUCAUGUGGGCAUUAGAUGCGCUGAGUCUACUAUGUCAACAAAGAAAUAAGUUUUUACGAAAAUUUGUCUGGCUUUUCAAUCUCCCUGGCUGUUGCUAUUUGGUUUCUAUCUCCAGCCUUUUAAAUACUGGUAUUUCCAAGGAUUCCAGUUUCUAUCUCCAUUUUGUGUCAUUCUCUCAACACUGCUAGGUGAUCACGCCUAAUUCUACGGUUUCAUACUGAGGGGUAUGUUGUACACACUCCUAAUUACCGACCUCCAGGCCUAGCCUCUCUGAGCCCCUCUCAUCUCUCACCUUAUUUCCAUCACAUCUCACUUUGCUUGCACUCCAUGUGAUGGAGGGGAGGGAUCUGCACUUUCUCCCCACCGAAUAGCAACUGUGGAUUAAAUAAAAUAACACCAUACAUUUUUAAGCCCUUGUUUUCAUGGUAAAGGCAACUGUGCUUUCAAUUAAUCUUCACAGUCCAAAGAAGAAGUUUCUAUUCCCUUCGAAUGAGUGACGAAAAUGAGAUCUGCAGACUUAAGCUGUUUUCCCAAAGUCACAGAACAGAGAAUGGGGCAGUGAGGACACUGGCUGUCUGCACUCUCUGCAUAGGUGACCACCUCGCAGAAUCCACAUGGACGCUCCCGCAGGAAAAGCCCUUCCUGGUCCCACUAGGAAAGUCAGGGCCCCUUCUGUGGACUUACAUUCCAAAUUGGGGUGUAAGUUUCUGUCUACCACCCCUCACGUACCCAAUCACACACAAACAGAACAAACACAGGGCUACUAUGGAGCCCAUGCCAGAUGAGGCCAGGAAUGCCGCUCACAUACUGGGAAUUAAAACUGACUCACUUCCUCCACCCUCUACUUGCCACUAAUUGCAGGUGGUCCGGUAUAGGAGAAAGUCAAGUCUUCCCUUCCCAGAAUGAGCAACCACCUGCUAUCAGAUUUCCAGAAGGCCUAAUUAGAAACUUCCAGUCACAGGUAGAACUUCAUAGCCUGUGAAGCUAGAAGUGCACCACCCCCAUCCUGUGACCCCUCCCUCCCCAGAGCUGCCAAGGUCGUCAUGGAACUUCACCCACUAACACAAGCGCCCUGGAAGAACACAGGCCUGCUCAGAGGGGCCAGGGUUAUUUGUUCCUUCCUGCCCUUGAAAGUGUGUAAUCAAAUUAAACAAAUCCACACUAAGAUCAAACGACCAUUCCAGACCUUAUAACCUUUCCAGUAUAUGUGCCCUAAAAAUGCUACUUAUUCAACCAACAGAGCCAG